AGAGGGUGAUGCCUGAGAAGGGACAGCAGCCCAGCCCCAUUCAGGGACACGUGGCCCUGAUUUGAGCUCCUGUGACAUCACGCUCCCUCCACUUAUCUUACAUGUCACAUCUCAAACAUUUAACAUUUUACAUCUCAAACAUUUCUUGAGGCCCUUACCCUCCCAUUCCCCCAAAUCAAUACGGCACUUAGGGGACACCAAGGCGCAGAGACACUUGCCCCAAAUCAUGCAGUAAUGCCCUGGUGCCACCGUGAACAGUGCUGAAGCUUCCUGACCCCUUGUCCAGGGGACCUGGCUGCCUUUUAUAGAAAGUUUCCACACACCUUCUAUUCCUAACCUCGAUCACAAGCAUCGCCGGCCCAGAUGCUCUGUGUCACCGGCUUAGUAACAUACCCCAUUUAGGAGCAUGAGCACAACUUGUUUGCAGUGGGAAUGAAUUAACUGAAUUCUAGAUAUUGUUUUUUGGCUGCCUUUUUUUGUUUGUUUUUAUUUCAAACACAGCUAACUAAUCAGGGCUGUGGACACCAAGAAUGCCAACUUUGAUUCUUCAAGGAAAAUCAGCAGCUGACCACACACCACCCUUCCUGGUCCUCCCCGAGAUGCCAAGAACAUCCAAAGUCUGCAGUUUUGAGGAAACUGAAGCUGAUCUGACACCACUUCCUUUUUCUCCAGAUGUUACCCUUCGGAUGCAUACCUCAAUCUGCCUGAAAAUCAUGGAAUUCUGGAGAUGGAAGGGACCUCAGAGAUUUUCUGGUUCUCUCUGUUCUGGUUGUAAGUGUUCUUACCACACACCACUCCCAACCAUGGGGAGCCUUUCCACCACUGAAGAGAGCUGGGGUUACUAAAGCCACAAUCAGCUUCUCUGCAACUUCUAACCAUUUGGCUAAGAUCAGUUUUUCUGAAACCACAAAGAAAAAAAAUCUACGAACAAGUACUAGCGUACCAAUGUUCACAGUAGCAUUAUUCACAAGUCAUAAGGUGGAAGCAACCCAAAUGUCCAUCAACAGAUGAAUAGGUAAACAACAUGCGGAAUAUACAUCCAAUGGAAUCCUCUUCAGCCUCAACAAGGAAGGAAAUUCCAGUGCAUGCUAUAACAUAGAUGGACCUCAAGGACACUGUGCUAAGUUAAUUAAGCUAGACACAAAAGGACAAAUGCUGUAUGACUCCACUUGUAUGAGGUCUCUUGAGUAGUCAGAAAGCAGAAUGGUGGCUGCCAGGAGCUGGGGGGGGGGGCAGGAAGAAUGGGGAGUUAUUGUUUAAUGGGAACAGAGUUUCUGUUUGGGAUGAUGAUAAAGUUCUAGAAAUUGAUAGCUGUGAUGGUCACACAACAUUGUGAAUAUAAUUAAUGCCACAGGACUGUAUAUUUAAAAAUGAUUAAAAUGGCAGAUUUUAUGUUAUGAUAAAAAAAUACAAAAAGAUAAAUCUACUCUCCCUUCAGGGGAAGACAGCCAUUCACCUAAAUCUUUUUCAGGCUAACAGUCUCCAGUUUUUUCUAACAAUCUUUAGGUGGUAUGAUUUCCAGGCCCCUGCAGCUUCCUGGCCACCCUCCUCUGGCUACACUUAAUGCCUCUUUGAAAACCUGGUACCCAGAACUGAAUGGUGGACUGCGCUCAGCUUCUCCUUCCAGGUCCCGCCCUGAGGCACCCGGCUUAACCCCCAAGUCAAACGCUGCACAGAGCAGGCCUGCUGCCUGCCCACUCUGGCUACCAGGCCAAAGGCCCAGGUCUGGAAGAAUAAAAAGAUGCCACCACCCUACUACCUUGCUGCUGCUCCAUCCCCAGACAGCUGUGGGCAGCUGCAGCUGAGAAGUGAAACUAACAACAGCAUCUGGGGGAGGGGGCGGCACCCAGCUGAGCCCUUUCCAUAGGUUUCCCGUUUCUGGUUGGGGGGGGGGGCGGGGGUGUCUGGCCAAUGGAAACAGGGCAGGCCCUCAGGGAUGCCUCUUAUCAGCAACCCACUGGAAGUCUGUAACCCCCUUCAUGGUACGGUGUGCAGGGCAGGGAUGGGAGGCACAGCUAGAUGUGUGCAGCCCCAGCCUAAGCCAGGCCUGUUGGGCACCACAAUGGGCUCACCCGCCUCGGUCCAUCUGGAAAAGGUUUGAAAGCUUGAGGCAGGAAAGUUCCCUUUUGCAUUUUAAAGUGUGUUGAAACUGAGUAGCCUGGGUGUUGGUCUCAUUCCACAAGUGAGUAAUCCAUUUCCUGAAAGUAAGCUGCUCCCCCUUUGGAAGUGGCCCAGCGAUUUGGGGGUGCUGUUAGAGGUGUCACUAACUCGGUAAAUAUUUAUUGGCACAAGCAAGGAGCUUUUCUAGGAAUAUCAGUUAAUUUGCUAAACUAAUGGCUUUAAGGUAGCACCCUUGAAAAAAAUUAAUUCCUUUCUGAUGGGUGAGCAAUUUAUGCCUGGGACAGGGCACCAGACAGGCAGUGUGUUUCACUUACUAGUUAGAAUAACCACAAAUAAAUUAAAACCAGGCCUGACUUUAAAA
This 2482-nucleotide long non-coding RNA is filed under the name Homo sapiens (human). RNAcentral describes it as "SAMD4A antisense RNA 1 (SAMD4A-AS1)". Lineage: Eukaryota; Metazoa; Chordata; Mammalia; Primates; Hominidae. The record is from RNAcentral.